UACGUAGGGUGCGAGCGUUAAUCGGAAUUACUGGGCGUAAAGGGUGCGCAGGCGGCGUCGCAAGUCAGGCGUGAAAUCCCCGGGCUUAACCUGGGAACUGCGUUUGAAACUGGGAGGCUAGAGUGUGGAAGAGGGGGGUGGAAUUCCAGGUGUAGCAGUGAAAUGCGUAGAGAUCUGGAGGAACACCGACGGCGAAGGCAGCCCCCUGGGCUGACACUGACGCUCAUGCACGAAAGCGUGGGGAGCAAACAGG
Molecule: ribosomal RNA, 253 nt
Filed under: uncultured bacterium
Lineage: Bacteria
Description: partial 16S ribosomal RNA
Rfam family: Bacterial small subunit ribosomal RNA
Source: RNAcentral